Long non-coding RNA from Triticum dicoccoides, 2931 nucleotides. RefSeq lists it as uncharacterized. The record is from RefSeq and is a predicted model, not a curated record. NCBI's taxonomy places the organism in Eukaryota, Viridiplantae, Streptophyta, Magnoliopsida, Poales, Poaceae. The transcript is spliced from 6 exons.
UCGAUCCCGAUACGACCUCUCUCUCUCCCCCAUCUCCCGUGCCGCCGCCGCCCUCAUCUCCCGCUCCGCCGCCGCCCCUACUGCUCCGCCGGCCCGACCUCUUCAUCGGGCGCGGCCGCAGGAGCAUCUCCACCUCUCCACUCCCUCACGCAACAGCACUCCAAACCCCCACCCCCACGCUCGGCUGCCGCUAGGAUUUCUUAUCCUCGCUGCCCCGCCGCGAUUCGUGUUGCGGGCAGUGAGGAUGGGAGCGGGUCGGCCGUGUCGCUUGGCGGGUUGAGCGGCUGGGGCAGUGGCGCCACCACGCUAGGCGGAGGAGAAGGAUAGAGACGUGGCGGUCCGAGCCUGGAGGGUAGCGUUGUGCCAGAUCGAGGUAGCGUUCACCGUCGUCUGAUCCGUGAAAUUUGAGAUUGCCGUCGCAUGGGUGGCCGAUGGCCAACAUGCGUAGGUCAUGGACGACCCUCCCUCGCAAGCCACGCAGUCUGGCUCACCACCUCAGGCCGACGCGAUGCCUCCUCAGCGGGGCAGACGACGGGCUCUUCCUCCUCGCGUUGUCUCCGUCCUCCUGCUCAAGCCGCUGCCGUCGCCUCCCAUCCUUCGUGGCCUGCCUGUGUGGGCCCACUGCUGGAGGAUCCCAGCCGGAGCGGUCCGACGCGGUGUUCGUGGCCAAGGAGCGGUGGUCGACGCCAUCGAGCAGGGGCCCUCGGUCGCCUGCCCUCCUCUUGCUGCUAUCCUCCGCGUCCGCGAAGAACAGUAUCCAAAGCAGCACGGAACAGGAACGACACAAGCAGCAACUCUCCAAACACAUUAGUUGUUGCUACUGAAGUUUAGAAGAAGUUUAGUGUGAUAUUAUUUUCAGCAUUCACAAAUAUGUUCAGAGAGUUGUUGCUUGUGUCGUUCCCCUUACUGGAGGAGGGAUCCACUUUGGCCAUUCGCCACUCUGCCUGCAAGCUCGACGCCACAGUUUGACAGGGCCAAGGUGGUAGUAGACGAUGACGAAUAUGGCGCCCUGGCUGUCUCUGUUCAUGAGAUUCCCGUAUGAUGGCCGAAUUUGUAUCACACCAGGCUGCUCCCCUCGUAUUGCAGAUCAGAGCUAGCUUAUAUUCAUCCAUAGGUCAUGGCUGGCUCCAAAAGCUAUGCUACAUGAUAUUAUCAGCUAUGAGAUUUUAUUUGAAGAAUCAUGCAAAGCAAUUUGAGAUGAUGCAUAUAAAGCAUCUUGGAUUUAUUAAGUGUUUUUCAAUUAUUCAAUUUAUGAAGAGUUCACUCGUCAUUGGAACAGACGCAAUCGACAGUACUACAUUACUGCAGUCUGCACAUGUUGUGUUGAGGGGAGGAGUUGCUAGCAGUGGCGGAGCUAUACGCAGCCAAAGCUGGGCGGGCCGGCAUGAAGGAAGAUCACUAUUUUUUGUUCUCAUGAUCCAGUUUACUUUAAUCCUACACUGUAUUUGUUGUGGGAUGGGUGGGCCUGGGCCAUGGCCCAUUUUCGUAAUGCUUAGCUCUGCCAGUUGUUGCUAGCAUGCCAUAAUAUCGUGCUUCCGUUCUCUAUAAUCAUGCUCGUUUCAUGCAUUGCUUCACAUCACCAAAUUAUUGGUUCGACUAAGGUAUCAGGUAUGCAACUUUUAGACAAUGGAAGGCCUGUAUCUAAACUUCUAAAGAAACACAUUAUGUGAGUUAACUAUGUAUUUGAUGAAUUGUCGUGUAAGCUUGGUAGUUCAGAAAAAUAUUUUGUUUCUUAUAUCAUGUGGUCAACACAAUGGAGAAACAGAAGAGAACAUUUAUCGUUUAGUUUAGUAAUAUCAUCUUCUAGGUUUUGUAAUUUCAUGUGUGUAGAAUGUUCCUAUAUUAAAUUUAUCAUUUUCAUAAAUAUACUAUGACUCUGAAUGUUGUUAAAGUUAUAGGUUUUCUUGGCCUAAUUCCAUCGCAUCAUUAACUAUUUGGUGUAUCCGCAGAAGCAUUAGGAUAAUUUUCCAAUAAAUCACUAGGCAUGUACUUCCAGGAAUUUGCAGGGAAUUUUACAUGAUUUUCGGCACAAAUCUGAAUUUGUCCAGACCCCAACUCCUCAUGUCCUUCACACUCCUUGGAUUCACUGGAGUGUGGACACCGGAGGUGUGCAAAAGCCCCGGUGUCAGUUUGUUCAAAGAUGGAGUCAGAAGGAAGACCCUGUUUUCAAAUCUUAGCUCCGCCACUGAUAGGUGGGGUGCCGGCCGAGGAGGCAACAUCCACUUCUUCUGUGGACAAGGCCGGAGAUCCCGAGAGCAUCAGCAGAAUAGGAGGAGGAGGCAUAGGAGGCUGAGAGGGGUGACAGGGAGCAUGAGAUGGUGCCCUCGCUGCAAGAGAGGGAGCCCUGCCAAUAGUCGUUGUGGGCUUGUGGCACUGGCAACACACAGCGCAUCACCAACCAUGAUCGUCCAGGCUGUGGCAUGGGGGUCGUGCUUGCUGCUGGUCCAAAGAUUCCCCCACCCUGAUGAUAAGGCCUCAUCCAUUCAAUUUUGACUCUGUAGACCACUAGCUUUUGGAAACAGAGAAGUAGCAGGAUGGGUAUAAUCAACUCAGCUGUUGAUUGCAUUGGGAGGUGGCAUGAACAAAGUAAAGGGGAAGAAAGCGAGCUUGGACACUAGGUGGUGGCACCAACCUGCAACUGUUUUGUUUCGGUCAAAGCAGGGGAGGGGUCAGGCAUGAACCAAACAGCUAUGGCUUAUUGCUUUGAGUCUUGCCGGACUAGGCAAGGUUAGAUCUUGUAAUGUCAUUUUCACGAUGCAAUGAUCAAGCUCUAAGAAAUUCUUGCGUACAUGUCUUUCAGUACUAUUUUUUCCCAUGGUUCAUCUGUGUAUGUCAUUUCCGUGAUGCGGUGAUUUUAAUAAUCUUGCUUAAAAUCAUUACUUAUUAGUUGUAACCACUGUGGUCAAAUAAAGUUGGAAGCUUAAUCUUCAA